CUCACCUAUUGGUUUGUUUCGGUUAAAUCUGUGGACCAAUCGGAGCAUGUUAUGAUUUCGUGGUUGCUCAUUGGUUGGUGCUACACAAAUCUACAAACCAAUGGGAGCCGGGUUUGUAGGAUAUAAGAAUCCUAGUGGUGUAGCACCUGGAAACGUUGUCAUUUACGUCAUGCCCUGUAUGGAAGCGCUCUUUAUGAAUGAGCGGAGGGCGGCUGCGCGUCAUUCAUUACCCUUGGCUUUGCGUGUUGUUGUUAAUGAGCGGAUCGGCUUUUAGCUGGUUCCCAGAUGGCUGUGUGUUGCAGUAUUCGCAGCAGCUACAGUUUGCUGCACAUUCAAUCUGGUAAUACCUCUUUGAUUGACCGGGCAUGACGGUUUCAUUAACCCCUCGAUAAAUGUAAGUUCCGUUUCGGAUGAGACUACAUUGCUGCUUUGCCUGGAGUUCGUUUCUUUCGUUUGUGUGUGUGGAUUCGUCUGGUGGCACAACCUCACCAUUUAUUGGACUGCAUCCAUUCAGGGGUUCGGGCUGGGAGGUGUAUAACCUGAAUUCAGCUGUGCCCAUAACGUGUAUUGGUAUGCAGGAGUGGUUGUCGGUGUGACGUAUCGACCAGUGUUAGUUAUUUUUUUGUUAUUGUUUUGAGUUAUUUAAUUUAGUGUUGUAUGUAUUCACCUCUAUAAAGUGGGAGAUUGCGCCGGAACUUGUGUACACUAUUUGCUAUUUUCUAUUUUCACGAGUGUAUUUUUAUAUAGUGUGGGGUGACCUCUUGACUUCCUGAAGGCGAGCUCCCCUUAUUGAUGUGAUUUUUGUUUCUUUUGUUUACUGUCAUACAUGUUUUCUAUUUAUUAUAAUAAAGAAAUUAUAUUUUUCAUAA
Misgurnus anguillicaudatus (oriental weatherfish) is the source of this 869-nucleotide non-coding RNA. NCBI's taxonomy places the organism in Eukaryota, Metazoa, Chordata, Actinopteri, Cypriniformes, Cobitidae. The record is from RefSeq and is a predicted model, not a curated record.